GUUGUAUAGUUAAGUAAUGAAGCGUACAGGGCGGAUGCCUUGGCAAUCAGAGGCGAAGAAGGACGUGCUAAUCUGCGAAAAGCUUGGAUGAGUUGAUAAGAAGCGUUUAAUCCAAGAUGUCCGAAUGGGGAAACCCAGUAGAUGAAGAAUCUACUAUCAUUAACUGAAUCCAUAGGUUAAUGAGGCGAACCGGGAGAACUGAAACAUCUAAGUACCCCGAGGAAAAGAAAUCAACCGAGAUUCCGUCAGUAGCGGCGAGCGAAAGCGGAGUAGCCAGUAAGUGAUAGUUUUGUUAUCAGUAGAAGGUGUUGGAAAGCACUGCCAUAGCGGGUGAUAGCCCCGUAUACGAAGAUAAUGGAAUGGUACUAGGCUUACGAGAAGUAGUGCGGGACACGAGGAAUCCUGUAUGAAGAUAGGGGGCCCAUCCUCUAAGGCUAAAUACUCCUGAUUGACCGAUAGUGAACCAGUACUGUGAAGGAAAGGCGAAAAGAAUCCCGGUGAGGGGAGUGAAAUAGAACCUGAAACCCUGUACGUACAAGCAGUGGGAGCCUGUUAAGGGUGACUGCGUACCUUUUGUAUAAUGGGUCAGCGACUUAUAUUUUGUAGCGAGGUUAACCGCAUAGGGAAGCCGAAGGGAAACCGAGUCUUAACUGGGCGAGAAGUUGCAAGGUAUAGACCCGAAACCCGGUGAUCUAGCCAUGGGCAGGUUGAAGGUUGGGUAACACUAACUGGAGGACCGAACCGACUAAUGUUGAAAAAUUAGCGGAUGACUUGUGGCUGGGGGUGAAAGGCCAAUCAAACCGGGAGAUAGCUGGUUCUCCCCGAAAUCUAUUUAGGUAGAGCCUUAAGUGAAUACCUUCGGGGGUAGAGCACUGUUUCGGCUAGGGGUCCAUCCCGGAUUACCAACCCGAUGCAAACUGCGAAUACCGAAGAGUAAUGCUUAGGAGACACACGGCGGGUGCUAACGUCCGUCGUGGAGAGGGAAACAACCCAGACCGCCAGCUAAGGUCCCGAAGUCUAUAUUAAGUGGGAAACGAAGUGGGAAGGCUUAGACAGCUAGGAUGUUGGCUUAGAAGCAGCCACCAUUUAAAGAAAGCGUAAUAGCUCACUAGUCGAGUCGGCCUGCGCGGAAGAUGUAACGGGGCUAAAAUAUAGCACCGAAGCUGCGGCAUCAGGCGUAUCACUAAUAAGUCUAAUGAGAGACGAUUAACAACGUGUUCGCGUAGCGAACGGGUUGUUCAAGCGUCAACCACGUUGAGUGGUAAAGAGGUAGAAAAAUAGACAUAUUAGUGAUACGCCUGUUGGGUAGGGGAGCGUUGUGUAAGCCGUAGAAGGUGUAUUGAGAAGUAUGCUGGAGGUAUCACAAGUGCGAAUGCUGACAUAAGUAACGAUAAAACGGGUGAAAAACCCGUUCGCCGAAAGACCAAGGUUUCCUGUCCAACGUUAAUCGGGGCAGGGUGAGUCGGCCCCUAAGGCGAGGCUGAAAAGCGUAGUCGAUGGGAAACGGGUUAAUAUUCCCGUACUUGAAUAAACUGCGAUGUGGGGACGGAGCAGGUUAGGUUAGCAGUAGAUUGGAUAGUACUGUUUAAGUUUGUAGGUGGGGUUUUUAGGCAAAUCCGGAAACCUGAUAACACUGAGAAAUGAUGACGAAGCUCUACGGAGCAGAAGUAACUGAUACCCAACUUCCAGGAAAAGCCACUAAGCUUCAGGUUUAUUUAAACCGUACUGAAAACCGACACAGGUGGUUAGGUAGAGAAUACUCAGGCGCUUGAGAGAACUCGGGUGAAGGAACUAGGCAAAAUAGCACCGUAACUUCGGGAGAAGGUGCGCUGGCGUAGUGUGAAGUUUGCACAAAUGGAGCAUGAACCAGUCGAAGUGACCAGCUGGCUGCAACUGUUUAUUAAAAACACAGCACUCUGCAAACACGUAAGUGGAGGUAUAGGGUGUGAUGCCUGCCCGGUGCUGGAAGGUUAAUUGAUGGUGUCAUCGCAAGAGAAGCACUUGAUCGAAGCCCCAGUAAACGGCGGCCGUAACUAUAACGGUCCUAAGGUAGCGAAAUUCCUUGUCGGGUAAGUUCCGACCUGCACGAAUGGCAUAAUGAUGGCCAGGCUGUCUCCACCCGAGACUCAGUGAAAUUGAAAUCGCCGUGAAGAUGCGGUGUACCCGCGGCUAGACGGAAAGACCCCGUGAACCUUUACUAUAGCUUGACACUGAACCUUGAAUUUUGAUGUGUAGGAUAGGUGGGAGACUAUGAAGUGGUAACGCCAGUUAUCAUGGAGUCGUUGUUGAAAUACCACCCUUUAACGUUUGAUGUUCUAACGAAGACUGCGUAACGUGGUUUCGGACAGUGUCUGGUGGGUAGUUUGACUGGGGCGGUCUCCUCCCAAAGCGUAACGGAGGAGCACGAAGGUUUGCUAAUCACGGUCGGACAUCGUGAGGAUAGCGCAAUGGUAAAAGCAAGCUUAACUGCGAGACGGACAAGUCGAGCAGGUGCGAAAGCAGGUCAUAGUGAUCCGGUGGUUCUGAAUGGAAGGGCCAUCGCUCAACGGAUAAAAGGUACUCCGGGGAUAACAGGCUGAUACCGCCCAAGAGUUCAUAUCGACGGCGGUGUUUGGCACCUCGAUGUCGGCUCAUCACAUCCUGGGGCUGAAGUAGGUCCCAAGGGUAUGGCUGUUCGCCAUUUAAAGUGGUACGCGAGCUGGGUUUAGAACGUCGUGAGACAGUUCGGUCCCUAUCUGCCGUGGGCGUAGGAUAAUUGAGAGGGGCUGCUCCUAGUACGAGAGGACCGGAGUGGACGCAUCACUGGUGUGCCAGUUGUCUCGCCAGAGGCAUUGCUGGGUAGCUAAAUGCGGAAGAGAUAAGUGCUGAAAGCAUAUAAGCACGAAACUUGCCUUGAGAUGAGUUAUCCCAAUCUAAGGAUUGUAAGGGUUGUUUGAGACGAAGACGUAGAUAGGCUGGGUGUGUAAGUGUAGUGAUACAUUGAGCUAACCAGUACUAAUUGCCCGAGAGGCUUAACUAUACAACGCU
RNAcentral lists this ribosomal RNA (3027 nucleotides) under Volucribacter amazonae. RNAcentral describes it as "23S ribosomal RNA". It matches the Rfam family "Bacterial large subunit ribosomal RNA". Lineage: Bacteria; Pseudomonadati; Pseudomonadota; Gammaproteobacteria; Pasteurellales; Pasteurellaceae. The record is from RNAcentral.